GAUUUGGGUGAAGAAGCUUGGUUGAGCCCGGCCUUGAAGGUUGAAUGAGCCAGGCUUGUUGUGCAUAUCAGGUGCGUGGGCCUUUGCAAGAUGGGCUUUUGGCUAUGAUCCAGGCCCUGGGCCAGGAUGGAGAAAUCCAGCGGUCAUCAAUUGCCCCUUCACCUUCUCGGUAGUUAUUGCCCCUACUGCCGAGGGGGUGAAUAUCAAGAACCAUUAUGACCGCGCCUGUUCGUGGUCAGGUGCCUUAAUAACAUCCUUUCAUCUUUCUGUCAUUGUGCAGUUUCCGAGUCCUAUCUGCUCUCUCCCUUUUCUGGCUUUUCUUCAUUCUUCGUGUUCUUUGCUGUCUUUGUUUUCCUGUCAUCAUUAUCUGGACAUGUCCUUUCUUUCCUUUUCCAUGACUAUCUUUUAAAAUUCUGACACCGUUAGCUUAGAGCAUAGCUCUGCUCCGUGCUAAGGUCUCAAGCUCUGGAUGUAUAUCAACGCUAGCUUUUCU
This 493-nucleotide long non-coding RNA is filed under the name Manihot esculenta (cassava). RNAcentral describes it as "long non-coding RNA (MESC_LNC004598)". Lineage: Eukaryota; Viridiplantae; Streptophyta; Magnoliopsida; Malpighiales; Euphorbiaceae. The record is from RNAcentral.